RNAcentral lists this ribosomal RNA (550 nucleotides) under uncultured bacterium. RNAcentral's name for it is "bacterial SSU rRNA". It matches the Rfam family "Bacterial small subunit ribosomal RNA", at positions 355 to 896 of the family's 1533-position model. The record is from RNAcentral.
UAGGGAAUCUUCGGCAAUGGACGGAAGUCUGACCGAGCAACGCCGCGUGAGUGAAGAAGGUUUUCGGAUCGUAAAGCUCUGUUGUAAGAGAAGAACGAGUGUGAGAGUGGAAAGUUCACACUGUGACGGUAUCUUACCAGAAAGGGACGGCUAACUACGUGCCAGCAGCCGCGGUAAUACGUAGGUCCCGAGCGUUGUCCGGAUUUAUUGGGCGUAAAGCGAGCGCAGGCGGUUAGAUAAGUCUGAAGUUAAAGGCUGUGGCUUAACCAUAGUAGGCUUUGGAAACUGUUUAACUUGAGUGCAAGAGGGGAGAGUGGAAUUCCAUGUGUAGCGGUGAAAUGCGUAGAUAUAUGGAGGAACACCGGUGGCGAAAGCGGCUCUCUGGUCUGUAACUGACGCUGAGGCUCGAAAGCGUGGGGAGCGAACAGGAUUAGAUACCCUGGUAGUCCACGCCGUAAACGAUGAGUGCUAGGUGUUAGGCCCUUUCCGGGGCUUAGUGCCGCAGCUAACGCAUUAAGCACUCCGCCUGGGGAGUACGACCGCAAGGUUG